Molecule: ribosomal RNA, 496 nt
Filed under: uncultured bacterium
Lineage: Bacteria
Description: partial 16S ribosomal RNA
Rfam family: Bacterial small subunit ribosomal RNA
Source: RNAcentral
AUGAACGCUGGCGGCGUGCCUCAUACAUGCAAGUCGAGCGAACAGACGAGGAGCUUGCUCCUCUGACGUUAGCGGCGGACGGGUGAGUAACACGUGGAUAACCUACCUAUAAGACUGGGAUAACUUCGGGAAACCGGAGCUAAUACCGGAUAAUAUAUUGAACCGCAUGGUUCAAUAGUGAAAGACGGUUUUGCUGUCACUUAUAGAUGGAUCCGCGCCGCAUUAGCUAGUUGGUAAGGUAACGGCUUACCAAGGCAACGAUGCGUAGCCGACCUGAGAGGGUGAUCGGCCACACUGGAACUGAGACACGGCCCAGACUCCUACGGGAGGCAGCAGUAGGGAAUCUUCCGCAAUGGGCGAAAGCUUGACGGAGCAACGCCGCGUGAGUGAUGAAGGUCUUCGGAUCGUAAAACUCUGUUAUUAGGGAAGAACAAAUGUGUAAGUAACUAUGCACGUCUUGACGGUACCUAAUCAGAAAGCCACGGCUAACUACGUG